AAUCCAGUUGAUCCUGCUGGGGGCUGCUGCUAUCUGGUUUGCAAUUAGACAUGCAAGUUUUUUUGAUUCUUCGGAGUUGAAGAGCGAACUGCUCAGUAACACGUAGCUAACCUAACCUAUCAUCCCGGAUAACCU
This 135-nucleotide ribosomal RNA is filed under the name Nanobdellota archaeon. Its description in RNAcentral is "partial 16S ribosomal RNA". It matches the Rfam family "Archaeal small subunit ribosomal RNA", at positions 1 to 132 of the family's 1478-position model. The record is from RNAcentral. Lineage: Archaea; Nanobdellati; Nanobdellota.